CCUGCAUGUUGCAAGGCUCAACUGGAGUAAAUUUCUUCCAUUGCCAGCAACCCCAACCCCGCACGUUUCCCUUCCUUUUUCUCUUUCUCCAUAUAUCUACUACGUGUAAUGCUUGUGUCUCCUAAGCACCUACAGUAUUGGCUUCCAACUGAGUUUUUCUUUUACAGAGUAAAAAGAGCUACCAUGGACAAACAGAACGCCUGCAACACUGAUUUCAAAUCCAAUUUCUGCUUCCCC
Molecule: unclassified non-coding RNA, 237 nt
Filed under: Hevea brasiliensis (rubber tree)
Lineage: Eukaryota; Viridiplantae; Streptophyta; Magnoliopsida; Malpighiales; Euphorbiaceae
Source: RNAcentral